UACGUAGGGUGCGAGCGUUAAUCGGAAUUACUGGGCGUAAAGCGUGCGUAGACGGUUAUUUAAGUCAGAUGUGAAAGCCCCGGGCUCAACCUGGGAAUUGCAUUUGAGACUGAAUAGCUAGGGUACGGUAGAGGGAAGCGGAAUUUCCGGUGUAGCGGUGAAAUGCGUAGAUAUCGAGAGGAACACCUGCGGCGAAGGCGGGUUGCUGGGCUGACACUGACGCUGAUGCGCGAAAGCCAGGGGAGCGAACGGG
Molecule: ribosomal RNA, 253 nt
Filed under: uncultured bacterium
Lineage: Bacteria
Description: partial 16S ribosomal RNA
Rfam family: Bacterial small subunit ribosomal RNA
Source: RNAcentral